AGUGAACGCUGGCGGUAGGCCUAACACAUGCAAGUCGAACGGCAGCACAGUAAGAGCUUGCUCUUACGGGUGGCGAGUGGCGGACGGGUGAGGAAUACAUCGGAAUCUACUUUUUCGUGGGGGAUAACGUAGGGAAACUUACGCUAAUACCGCAUACGACCUACGGGUGAAAGCAGGGGAUCUUCGGACCUUGCGCGAUUGAAUGAGCCGAUGUCGGAUUAGCUAGUUGGCGGGGUAAAGGCCCACCAAGGCGACGAUCCGUAGCUGGUCUGAGAGGAUGAUCAGCCACACUGGAACUGAGACACGGUCCAGACUCCUACGGGAGGCAGCAGUGGGGAAUAGUGGACAAUGGGCGCAAGCCGGAUCCAGCCAUACCGCGUGGGUGAAGAAGGCCUUCGGGUUGUAAAGCCCUUUUGUUGGAAAAGAAAAGCAGCAGGUUAAUACCCCGCUGUUCUGACGGUACCCAAAGAAUAAGCACCGGCUAACUUCG
RNAcentral lists this ribosomal RNA (490 nucleotides) under uncultured bacterium. Its description in RNAcentral is "partial 16S ribosomal RNA". It matches the Rfam family "Bacterial small subunit ribosomal RNA", at positions 29 to 505 of the family's 1533-position model. The record is from RNAcentral.